GUGGUGAGGUUUUGCACUCGCGAUGUGAUCACCUGUCUGGCGGCGGCUAAUUAGCCAAAACGCGAGACACGCGCCCGUGUAUGCGUGGCUGUCGGAGGUCUAAGGCGGAUAGCCCGAAAAGUGGUUGGGUUCGUCGGGACUGGAUGGCCGGCAGUCGGCGGCGGUGGAGGAGACCGGGUUUUCCGACUGCCUGGGGGUCUUGCUGGAGCGCCAUCAAGCUGCCCUCGCAUCCAAAUUCUCCUUCAAAAAGGCGCCUGAUCCUCUGAGUUUCACCGGUGAUUUUGAAAAACUCCUUCAAUGACGUUUGUGUUGCCUGCUUCACGCCGCCACAGUUCCCCAUCUUCUCCUCCAGCGUUUCCAAGCGCAGUGACACUCUGAGAAGGUCCUGCCUCAAAGCCUGCGGGGUCAUGAAUGCCUCGCCGUCUCCAGUUUGUUCUUCUGUUCCAGGCAGGCGUCCCUGCGUUGAAGCACGUCCUGGCUGCUCCUGAGCUCCUCCUCCAUCUCCUGCUGCUUGGCUCUCCUCUGCAGUUCCAACUCCUCGGCCUCCUCCAGCCAACAACACUCGUGCUGCUCUUUUGACCCCUGCUGAGGUUGAUUUCUGUACACGUUUAAAUCUACAAGACGGUCCACCUGCAAAGCAUAAACAGUCCUGGUCACCUAUGUUGACUUGGACACCAGCUGCAGUGCCAUGACAUCACCUUGUCAUAGAUGGAUGCCAACAUAGAAACGCCCAUUUUAACCCCAAAUAACAAGACAAUCUGAGAAAACGGCAAUUACGCAUUUUAGACCUAAAACAUGUCCUGGGCACACUGCAAAAACAGCCAUACAUGGGAAAAAAAGCCCAAAUUAAAAUUAGACAACUUUUCUUAUUUCAAGCACAACAUUCUGCCAAUGGAGCAAAAUUUCCUUGGCUAGAAUUCUUCUAACUACAAUAUUUUUGUGACUUUUAAGAAUAUAAUGAGUCCUAAAAUAAGCAAGUUGUUCUUAAUCCCAUAGCUAUAGCUUAUUACAAGGUAAGAAUUAAGCCAAAUGCGCUUAUAAGAUUCCUAAAUUGAGAUAAAAUGUGCUUUUACGAGGCCAGAUUUAAGCACAAUGUUUUUCAUAUUUUAGAUGUGAGCGUAUUAUUCUUUUCAACUUUCCAGUAGCAACCAUUCAUACCUGUGGACAAUUUUUGGAGUCUUCAGUUGGUCUAUGACGCAUGUUGUUGGACUGUGGAGGGAAGCCGUAGUACACAGAGAAUACCCACGGGGAGAGCGUGCGGGUUCCGCCUGAUUGUGGGGCCAACAUCGUAACCACUCGGCCACCGUGUAGCUAACAUUUCUUCUUGUCAGCGUGUGAGUUAUGUUGGUUACUUUGUCAGCUUUUCAACAAGCAUGAAGCAAAUGAUAUGAAUGGAAAAGAGUGCGAUUGUAUCUCAAAUUCACUUAGUUUAGAAAACCCUGUUGUCAUAAACACUAUCAGAAUUCUUUUUGGCAUGGUUUGCAUGUACAUUCGCUAGUUUGACAGAUUUUAUGAGUACAUUUAAUUUAAUAAAUCUUGGUGUGCAGCCAAGCAAAUCUUUAAGACAUGGUUGGGACUUUUUUUUUACUUUCUUGAAAUUUUGUUUUUGCAGUGUAGAGUUUACUCUUAAAUUUAAGUUUAGAAACCAGUUUUAUUCUUAAUUUAAGACAGAUAUAUAUUCAUCAGUUGUUGAAGAGUGAUCAAAAUACGUUUUUAGCUGGUUAGUACAAAAAAGAAGUCAUUUCUAUUGGAUACCUACACUUUUUUUCAAGUGAAAACUGCCAGACAAGAUUUUUUUUCUUUUUAGGGAAAAAAUAGGGCCUGUUCGAAUCUCCAUGUGUGGAGUUUGUAUGUUCUCCUCGUGCGUGUGUGGGUUUUUUCCGGGAACUCCGGUUUCCUCCCACAUUCCAAAAAAAACAAAGAUGCAUGUUAGGUUAAUUAGCGACUUAACUUGUCCACAGGUAUGAAUGUGAGAGUGAAUGGUUGUUUGUCAUUGGCUGGCGACCAAUCCAGGGUGUACCCGAAGUCAGCUGGGAUCGGCUCCAGCACACCAGUGACCUUAGUGAGAAUAUGCGGCAUAGAAGACGGAUGGAUGGAAAAAAUUAAGAAAUUGUUCCUUAAAAUGGGCUACAGGCAAUAAAUGAAUGAAUAAAUAAAUGAAACUAUGACAACUAUAAUAAUAAUGACAUAUUGUUAUUUUUGUCAUAUUAUA
Molecule: long non-coding RNA, 2212 nt
Organism: Dunckerocampus dactyliophorus (ringed pipefish)
Lineage: Eukaryota; Metazoa; Chordata; Actinopteri; Syngnathiformes; Syngnathidae
Exons: 3
Source: RefSeq, a predicted model, not a curated record